This 916-nucleotide long non-coding RNA is filed under the name Homo sapiens (human). RNAcentral describes it as "non-protein coding lnc-CIDEA-2:6". Lineage: Eukaryota; Metazoa; Chordata; Mammalia; Primates; Hominidae. The record is from RNAcentral.
GGAGAACAGCCCCUGUUCCUCUUCCCUAGCCAGGUUCUCACACGUCCCUGAGGAACUAGAGAGGAACGCCUCUGGGAAGCCCAGCCAGAGCCAACCGGAAGGGCCUUUUGGUGAAGUCUGACAUCCUACAUUAGUUUCUCUGGACCUGGCAGAGCUCCCUGGAUAAAUCAUGAACAGAAGCAUCUAUGACCGACAGUUGCUCUGUGUCCUUCUAGCCUCGCAGGAGUUUCCAGCUCAUGAGGGCAGAGGAGAUGAAGAGAGGCCGAUCGACGUGAGGGUUGUGCAGGCGGCCCCUCUGAGGUGUGACUCCAGUAAGUACUCUGGAAUUACUUGCUGAGAAAGAAAAGUCUGGAUGCCAAGAAAGGUGUGACAUCCUUGCUGGCUUCAAUGUGAAGAGCCACCCUGAUUCUGGGAUUCUGAUAGGAAUAAGGUAGAUGAUGCAUAUCUGAACCUGGAAACCGCUUCCCACUGUAGAGCGUGUCUGAGUCAUGUCCCUUAGCUUCAGCAGAGCAGAUCCAGCAGGCUCUGAGCUUGGCCUCUUUGCCUGGAGCGAGACCUCUAGGUAAUGUCUCCAGAGAGGGUGGCACAAAGGAUCCUGGAUCUCCUGAUCACAGCAGCCCAAGAGUGCCGUGCGUGCACCAUGGCUCAAGAAGAAGACUUAAAAAGGGGAAACUCCUCCUGAGGGUGCUGUAGGAGACAUCUGCAAAAAAGAAGAUGCUGGCAAUAUGCCAUCAACCUCAGAGGGGAGUAUUUACCCUGAAAUGGCUCACUUCCUGAGGAACAAACUUGCUGGAUCUAGUGUACGGAAACCUGAUUCUGGGUUCCUUUGGGAAGGAGCAUUACGGGCCUGCUCCUGGACCACCUCAUAUCACCAGCACCCUCUACCCAAGGUCCUGGAGCCAACACUGGAGUAAAA